Molecule: ribosomal RNA, 468 nt
Filed under: uncultured bacterium
Lineage: Bacteria
Description: partial 16S ribosomal RNA
Rfam family: Bacterial small subunit ribosomal RNA
Source: RNAcentral
GACGAACGCUGGCGGCGUGCUUAACACAUGCAAGUCGAACGGAAAGGCCCUGCUUUUGUGGGGUGCUCGAGUGGCGAACGGGUGAGUAACACGUGAGUAACCUGCCCUUGACUUUGGGAUAACUUCAGGAAACUGGGGCUAAUACCGGAUAGGAGCUCCUGCUGCAUGGUGGGGGUUGGAAAGUUUCGGCGGUUGGGGAUGGACUCGCGGCUUAUCAGCUUGUUGGUGGGGUAGUGGCUUACGAAGGCUUUGACGGGUAGCCGGCCUGAGAGGGUGACCGGCCACAUUGGGCCUGAGAUACGGCCCAGACUCCUACGGGAGGCAGCAGUGGGGAAUAUUGCACAAUGGGCGGAAGCCUGAUGCAGCAACGCCGCGUGCGGGAUGACGGCCUUCGGGUUGUAAACCGCUUUCGCCUGUGACGAAGCGUGAGUGACGGUAAUGUGUAAAGAAGCACCGGCUAACUACGUG